GUGAACGCUGGCGGUAGGCCUAACACAUGCAAGUCGAACGGCAGCACAGUAAGAGCUUGCUCUUACGGGUGGCGAGUGGCGGACGGGUGAGGAAUACAUCGGAAUCUACUUUUUCGUGGGGGAUAACGUAGGGAAACUUACGCUAAUACCGCAUACGACCUACGGGUGAAAGCAGGGGAUUUUCGGACCUUGCGCGAUUGAAUGAGCCGAUGUCGGAUUAGCUAGUUGGCGGGGUAAAGGCCCACCAAGGCGACGAUCCGUAGCUGGUCUGAGAGGAUGAUCAGCCACACUGGAACUGAGACACGGUCCAGACUCCUACGGGAGGCAGCAGUGGGGAAUAUUGGACAAUGGGCGCAAGCCUGAUCCAGCCAUACCGCGUGGGUGAAGAAGGCCUUCGGGUUGUAAAGCCCUUUUGUUGGGAAAGAAAAGCAGCAGGUUAAUACCCCGCUGUUCUGACGGUACCCAAAGAAUAAGCACCGGCUAACUUCGUG
Molecule: ribosomal RNA, 491 nt
Filed under: uncultured bacterium
Lineage: Bacteria
Description: partial 16S ribosomal RNA
Rfam family: Bacterial small subunit ribosomal RNA
Source: RNAcentral